This 3169-nucleotide long non-coding RNA is filed under the name Anas platyrhynchos platyrhynchos (common mallard). RNAcentral's name for it is "lncRNA (ENSAPLG00000017019.1)". Lineage: Eukaryota; Metazoa; Chordata; Aves; Anseriformes; Anatidae. The record is from RNAcentral.
UCGGGGUCACCGUGGGGCCGGGGCUCUGCAGGUUCUGCGCGCUGGGGCUCCUCUGCUCUGACGUCCGUGGGUCUGGGGGCUGCUCGGGGGGCUGCUGGCGCUCCGGGGACAGGGUGAAGCUGCCCUGCAGUUCGACGGGGCAGGAGUACUGCAGGAAGGGGUCCCCAAGGAAGGGGUUGGCGUACAUGUUCACGGGUAUGGCUGCGGAGACAGACACGGUGCUCGCGGUCCCUGCGGCCACCAGCCCCGUGCCCCGUGCCCCCAGCACCUCCCGUCCCCAUCCUGCAAGCGGGGGCACACCCUGAGGGGUGAGGGGACAGGGACGGGGACCCCGGGAGCUGCUGCCUCCACCUGGGUGCUGCGGGGCUGCGGGGGCUGCAGGACGCCCCCACGGGUGGGCACAGCGCGGGGGCUACGGGGUGGGGGUGGCGCAGGGAGCCCUGUCUGGGGGUGCCCACGGGGAAGGGUCCGGCCGGGGGUCCCACACGCGCCCCAGGCCCUGCGGUUACACUUGUUCCUGGUGGCGACGGGGAAGAACGCGGGGCCGAUCUCCGUGCCGCUGAGGGACGGCUCAGGCGUGGUGCCGUGCGGCUGCAGGUUGAACCACAUGGGUGAUAGCGGCGCGCUUUGGUUCUGUGCCGGCUCCCUGUCCCGCGCUGCGCUCGCUGCGGGAGGGGGGCAGGUUUUAAGCCCUGGUCCCCCCUCCCCAGCAGCCGGCUCGCCGCGGUGCCGGCCGCCCCUGACCUGCGGUGCCGCCGGGGAGGUCUGCGGGGCCGUCGCGGGGCGUGGAGGUGAGCAGGGGCUGGAUGCUGGGGUGGCCGCGCAGGACGUGCCGCAGCUGCUGGUGCUCCCUGAUGAGGUUGACCACGCGAGCCAGCUCCUCGUUCUCCGCCAGCAGCGCCUGGAUCUCGUGCCGCAGCUGGUCGUAGCAGGCGAAGACGGAGAGCCCGGCGCGCGAGGGGCGGGUGGCGAGCAGCGGCUGCAUGGCCCCCUGCCCCGGCCCCCCGAUGGGUGAGGGGGCCGGGGGGCUGCUCCCGCCGGGCAUGGGGAGCCCCUCGAGGUGGUGGUCAGGCAGGGGAGGAUGGUGCCAGCCGCUGCCGGGGCGUCUCCAUCCCGGGGCACGCGUGGUUCCGAGGGGGAUGUCACAGAGGACCCCCCCCCGGUGCGUGCCCACCCCCCCAGCACCAUGGUGCUGGGUCCCGGCAGGCGCCCGAACAGCCCCUGCGAGGAGGGUAUGGGCAGCACCCGCGGGGCACGGGGUUGCUGGGGGCUGGUGGGGGGGUGUGGGGAGGGUGGGGAGGGUCGUGGCUGUGGUUUUAUGGCUGUGGUUAUGGCUGUGGUUAUGGCUAUGGCUGUGGUUAGGGUUGUGGUUGUGGUUGUGGUUAGGGCUAUGGCUAUGGUUGUGGUUGUUAUGGUUAUGUUUUUUUUGGCUAUGGUUCUGGUUGUUGUCAUGUUUAUGGCUUUAUGGAUAUGGUUUUGGCUGUGGCUGUGGUUAUGGCUGUGGUUAUUGUUGUGGUUAUGGCUGUGGCUGUGGUUACGGUUAUGGCUGUGGCUAUGGCUAUGGCUGGGGGGAGCUACACCCACCGCCCCGCAGCCCCCUUGUGCCACACAGGGUGCGCAGUGUGUGGCACGGUGCGGUGCCUGCGGGUGCCGCAUCGCAGCCGCGCUCGAGGCCGGUGCAGAGAGGCCGACCCCCCUCCAUCUCCUUCCCCCACCCCGCAGGAGGACCCCCCCGUUGCCAGCCCACCAUGAAGUGCUGCAGCCACUGCCCGGGCAGCGGCGUGCCGGACCCCGAUGCGCGGCCACCCACCUCCUGUGGGAGCCCCUCCUGCUGCCUCGACCCCCGGGGGGGCUGCACCGGCAGCCCCCUGCCCUGCCCCGGCCCCGCCAAGCACCCCGGCAGCCCCAGCGCGUCCGCACGCUCUGCCGAGAGCCUGGGGGGCUCCGUGGGCUCUGCCGACGCCGCCUCGUCCGCCGGCAGCACCAGCCUGAAGCCGGGCGUGGAGGAGGCGCUGGGCACCAUGCUGGCCGCCUCCUGCACGCUCAGCCCGAAGCCGGCGUCGGCGCUGGGCCCCGCCAUCGACCGCUCCUUCAUCACCACCAGCCUGGCCGCCCAGAUGCUGGAGGAGUUCCUGACGAAGCAGGUGCCGGCGGCGGCCACCGAGGUGUCCCCGGACGUCCCCGAGGAGAGCAACCGGCAGGGCCCCGUGGCCCCCACCGCCUCCCUGGAGAGGCUGCGCCGGCACAACCGCCGCUUCCAGCGGGCCAAGGCGCGCUUCCAGGGCCACGGCGAGAUCCCGGUCCAGGCGCUGCUGCCGGGGCUGGAUGGGGGCGGUGGGACAGCCCCCCGCCACGGCACCCGGCCCGAGCCACGCCACGGCCCCCCCUGGGACAGCCACGGGUGCCGCGGGCAGGGCGGCGAGGUGCUGUGCCGCGGCACCACCUGGCACGCCGUGCACGGCUGCUGCGGCACUGUGGAGGUGCUGAGCGGCGCCUGCCCCUGGGAGCGGGAUGGUGGAGCCGCGGCGUGCCGGGAGUGCGGGUGCAGCUGGGGGCUGCCCGGGCCCCCGGUGCCCCCCGUGCCGUGGCUGAGGCAGCGGGACGUGCACGGCUGGGCCACGCACACCACCACCGCCUGCACCACGCUGGGCCACGAGUCCCGGAGCUGCCACGGAGCCGCCACCGCCGUGCUCAGGGCGGGGAGGGUCCCGCACUGCGAGCCCCCCGCCGACAACCAGGGCCCCCCCGGGAUGCCGAGCUGCAGCCACGCAGAGCCGGGCACCAGCGCCCUGCGUGGCUGCGGCUGCGCCCCCCACUGCAGCCGGGGCAGGAGCGUGGAGGAGCCGUGCCGGGAGCCGGACGGGGAGCGGAGCCGCCUCCGGCGCCGGGAGCCAGCGGGGACCCUGGUGCGGGGCAGGGACCCCGGGGGGGAGCCGGAGGGCCCGGUGGCCUGGGCGCCCCCCCAGCAGCGCCUGGGUGCCAUGAACACGGUGCAGCUCAUCGCCAAGACCUUCGAGCUGCGGGCGCAGCGCGACGCCGCGCAGGCUGAGCGCGACCGGCAGCCCCCGUUCUGUCGCAGGGGGGGGACACUGGAAACCUGCCCCCCGGAGCCACGGGGACCCUGCUCCCCGGGGUGCUGCAGGGGGCUCCCCCGGGCCCGGGGCUCGCU